Molecule: ribosomal RNA, 253 nt
Filed under: uncultured bacterium
Lineage: Bacteria
Description: partial 16S ribosomal RNA
Rfam family: Bacterial small subunit ribosomal RNA
Source: RNAcentral
AACGUAGGGGACAAGCGUUAUCCGGAUUUACUGGGCGUAAAGCGCCCGUAGGCGGCUUUUUAAGUUGGACGUGAAAGCUCCCGGCUUAACUGGGAGAGGCCGUUCAAAACUGAGAGGCUAGAGUGAGGAAGAGGAGAGCGGAAUUCCCGGUGUAGUGGUGGAAUGCGUAGAUAUCGGGAGGAACACCAGUGGCGAAAGCGGCUCUCUGGUCCUAAACUGACGCUGAGGGGCGAAAGCGUGGGGAGCGAACGGG